ACGCUGGCGGCGUGCCUAAUACAUGCAAGUCGAACGCACAGCGAAAGGUGCUUGCACCUUUCAAGUGAGUGGCGAACGGGUGAGUAACACGUGGACAACCUGCCUCAAGGCUGGGGAUAACAUUUGGAAACAGAUGCUAAUACCGAAUAAAACUUAGUGUCGCAUGACACAAAGUUAAAAGGCGCUUCGGCGUCACCUAGAGAUGGAUCCGCGGUGCAUUAGUUAGUUGGUGGGGUAAAGGCCUACCAAGACAAUGAUGCAUAGCCGAGUUGAGAGACUGAUCGGCCACAUUGGGACUGAGACACGGCCCAAACUCCUACGGGAGGCUGCAGUAGGGAAUCUUCCACAAUGGGCGAAAGCCUGAUGGAGCAACGCCGCGUGUGUGAUGAAGGCUUUCGGGUCGUAAAGCACUGUUGUAUGGGAAGAACAGCUAGAAUAGGAAAUGAUUUUAGUUUGACGGUACCAUACCAGAAAGGGACGGCUAAAUACGUGCCAGCAGCCGCGGUAAUACGUAUGUCCCGAGCGUUAUCCGGAUUUAUUGGGCGUAAAGCGAGCGCAGACGGUUUAUUAAGUCUGAUGUGAAAGCCCGGAGCUCAACUCCGGAAUGGCAUUGGAAACUGGUUAACUUGAGUGCAGUAGAGGUAAGUGGAACUCCAUGUGUAGCGGUGGAAUGCGUAGAUAUAUGGAAGAACACCAGUGGCGAAGGCGGCUUACUGGACUGCAACUGACGUUGAGGCUCGAAAUCGUGGGUAGCAAAC
RNAcentral lists this ribosomal RNA (758 nucleotides) under uncultured bacterium. RNAcentral describes it as "bacterial SSU rRNA". It matches the Rfam family "Bacterial small subunit ribosomal RNA", at positions 33 to 773 of the family's 1533-position model. The record is from RNAcentral.